GAAUUCGAUUCGGUGUGACAAGGCCCGGGAACGUAUUCACCGCAGCGUUCUGAUCUGCGAUUACUAGCGAUUCCAGCUUCAUGGAGUCGAGUUGCAGACUCCAAUCCGAACUGAGACGAGCUUUUUGCGAUUGGCUCCCCCUUGCAGGUUUGCAGCGCUUUGUACUCGCCAUUGUAGCACGUGUGUAGCCCUGGACAUAAAGGCCAUGAGGACUUGACGUCAUCCCCACCUUCCUCCGUUUUGUCAACGGCAGUCUCAAUAGAGUGCCCGGCCGAACCGCUAGCAACUAUUGAUAAGGGUUGCGCUCGUUGCGGGACUUAACCCAACAUCUCACGACACGAGCUGACGACAGCCAUGCAGCACCUUGCACUCUGCCUGGUUUUACCCAGGAAUCCGUAUCUCUACGGCUGUCAGAGGCAUUCUAGCCCAGGUAAGGUUCUUCGCGUUAAUCACUA
This 455-nucleotide ribosomal RNA is filed under the name uncultured soil bacterium. RNAcentral's name for it is "partial 16S ribosomal RNA". The record is from RNAcentral.